GAGUUUGAUUAUGGCUCAGGAUGAACGCUGGCGGCGUGCCUAACACAUGCAAGUCGAGCGCGGUUGUGCUUAGUAUUGAGUGUUUUAUUGAUAUAAAACAUUGAAUUCUAUGCACAACUGAGCGGCGGACGGGUGAGUAACGCGUGGGUAACCUGCCCUAUACACAUGGAUAACAUACUGAAAAGUUUACUAAUACAUGAUAAAAUAGUUUUUCGGCAUCGAAGAAUUAUCAAAGUGUUAGCGGUAUAGGAUGGACCCGCGUCUGAUUAGCUAGUUGGUGAGAUAACUGCCCACCAAGGCGACGAUCAGUAGCCGACCUGAGAGGGUGAUCGGCCACAUUGGAACUGAGACACGGUCCAAACUCCUACGGGAGGCAGCAGUGGGGAAUAUUGCACAAUGGGCGCAAGCCUGAUGCAGCAACGCCGCGUGAACGAUGAAGGUCUUCGGAUCGUAAAGUUCUGUUGCAGGGGAAGAUAAUGACG
This 482-nucleotide ribosomal RNA is filed under the name Peptostreptococcus sp. canine oral taxon 033. RNAcentral's name for it is "bacterial SSU rRNA". It matches the Rfam family "Bacterial small subunit ribosomal RNA", at positions 9 to 456 of the family's 1533-position model. The record is from RNAcentral. Lineage: Bacteria; Bacillati; Bacillota; Clostridia; Peptostreptococcales; Peptostreptococcaceae.